GAGUUUGAUCCUGGCUCAGGAUGAACGCUGGCGGCGUGCCUAAUACAUGCAAGUCGAGCGAACAGAUAAGGAGCUUGCUCCUUUGACGUUAGCGGCGGACGGGUGAGUAACACGUGGGUAACCUACCUAUAAGACUGGAAUAACUCCGGGAAACCGGGGCUAAUGCCGGAUAACAUUUAGAACCGCAUGGUUCUAAAGUGAAAGAGGGUUUUGCUAUCACUUAUAGAUGGACCCGCGCCGUAUUAGCUAGUUGGUAAGGUAACGGCUUACCAAGGCGACGAUACGUAGCCGACCUGAGAGGGUGAUCGGCCACACUGGAACUGAGACACGGUCCAGACUCCUACGGGAGGCAGCAGUAGGGAAUCUUCCGCAAUGGGCGAAAGCCUGACGGAGCAACGCCGCGUGAGUGAUGAAGGGUUUCGGCUCGUAAAACUCUGUUAUUAGGGAAGAACAAAUGUGUAAGUAACUGUGCACAUCU
Molecule: ribosomal RNA, 478 nt
Filed under: uncultured bacterium
Lineage: Bacteria
Description: bacterial SSU rRNA
Rfam family: Bacterial small subunit ribosomal RNA
Source: RNAcentral